This 73-nucleotide transfer RNA is filed under the name Penaeus chinensis. RNAcentral's name for it is "tRNA-Arg". It matches the Rfam family "tRNA". From Rfam's summary of the family: Transfer RNA (tRNA) molecules are approximately 80 nucleotides in length. Their secondary structure includes four short double-helical elements and three loops (D, anti-codon, and T loops). The record is from RNAcentral. Lineage: Eukaryota; Metazoa; Arthropoda; Malacostraca; Decapoda; Penaeidae.
GACCUCGUGGCCGAGUGGAUAAGGCACUGGAUUUCUGAUCCAAGGUUCGCAGGUUCGAAUCCUGCCGCGGUCC